CCUACGGGACGCAGCAGUAGGGAAUCUUCGGCAAUGGACGAAAGUCUGACCGAGCAACGCCGCGUGAGUGAAGAAGGUUUUCGGAUCGUAAAACUCUGUUGUUAGAGAAGAACAAGUAGGAGAGUAACUGCUCUUACCUUGACGGUAUCUAACCAGAAAGCCACGGCUAACUACGUGCCAGCAGCCGCGGUAAUACGUAGGUGGCAAGCGUUGUCCGGAUUUAUUGGGCGUAGAGCGAGCGCAGGCGGUCUUUUAAGUCUGAUGUGAAAGCCCACGGCUUAGCCGUGGAGGGUCAUUGGAAACUGGAGGACUCGAUUGCAGAAGAGGAGAGUGGAAUUCCAUGUGUAGCGGUGAAAUGCGUAGAGAUAUGGAGGAACACCAGUGGCGAAGGCGACUCUCUGGUCUGUAACUGACGCUGAGGAGCGAAAGCGUGGGUAACGAACAGGAUUAGAUACCCGUGUAGUC
This 465-nucleotide ribosomal RNA is filed under the name uncultured bacterium. RNAcentral's name for it is "bacterial SSU rRNA". It matches the Rfam family "Bacterial small subunit ribosomal RNA", at positions 338 to 795 of the family's 1533-position model. The record is from RNAcentral.